GGUUUCACAAAUGAGCAGAUCAAGGGUUCUCCAGGAAGACCUGCCAUGCAUAGACACCUCUACAUUAGUGCAGUCAAGGAUCAGGAAACCCCUUUCUAAUUUGAGCAACACACAUAUGAAGGAAUAAUCCGAUGUACUGCUGCAAAGUGUCUUCAGCCAAUUUAGACAAGAACAACUCUUAAAUUAUUUUUGGUGAAGAAAGUUAAUCACUGAACAAUUUGAGGUGAAUGGAAGUUCGCUAUUCCUCUACAACCUUUUACCAGGUUAUAAUGAAAUUGAGUCCACUGAGGAAGGAAAAAGUUAGUUUCACUUGACUAAGUUCCCACAUGGAUUAAGCAGCAGACCCAAGACCAAGACCAGAACGCAAUCCACUCUUUGAUGAGAACAUACUUGGAUAUGACCUAUGCUAUUUUGAAUGAAAUUUAGCAAGGAAGAACUGUCCAUCAAUCAUUUUAACCAAGUUCACCUUUUGUUGCCAUUUAAGUUUAAUUUUGUCCCAGGAAAUUCAUAGUGAGUGAUUGUGAUUACAUUUUCCUCAUUUUCAUGCCUCUGACAUUCUUGUUGAAGAUGCUAAUCUUGUAUAAAGCUGUCUUUGGAGUUGAUGAUGCUGACACUUCUCACUCCUAUGGGAAAUGGAGAGAUGUGGUGCAUAAAAUAGAAUAAAAUGUAUUAGAGCAAAAUAAAACUGCUAAUAAGAGUAAUCACUGUAAUAGAUUUUAAAAUCAUUUUAAAUCUAGUUUUAAUUACCUAAAUCCAUCUCAGAAUUACUACUGAUGUGAUGAGAAAUUCAUAAAUUCUGUGCAAAUUGAAAACAGAAAUUACAUUGUUUAUUAAAAUACUACUUUACUACCCCAUCUCUAUAUUAUCAUAUAUGUAAAUUUACGCAUGUAUACAUAAAUUAUACAUUUAUACAUAUAAACUUGAAUUUAUCAGAACUACUCAAUUUCAUCUCCUGGUUAAUAAUUUAGUAUGCAUUAACCUUCAGUAUUCACAUCAAGAUACAUUCUCCUCUCAAACAUGAUAAAACGAAAGCGUUCUAAGAUUAUACAGAGUGUGUUUUCUAAACAAAAUUCGCUUCUCGUUUUAGAAAGUUGAUGUCAUCAAGGCAUCACCAUCAAAUUUAACUUCUCUACUUUUCUUUAGAUAAAAAUAGAGAAGAAAGCUUUCUAAGUGUGUCAGUCUAAGAAAAACUUUAAUUAGAAUCUCUGGCUGUUGUUUAGGUUGCAUUCUACAACUUAUUUCAGCUUGACAGUAGGCAGGAGACUUCCCCUUCAAUUUUAGGUCGAAGCCAGAAUAAAAAGUGCUUUAGAAAAAGAAAAAACUGGUUUCUGUUCUCCUAAUUCCCUUCUGCCCAUAAAACGAAUCUAUGCAGGAUAUUUGCAAUAGCAUCUCAAACCCACCUGGCUCUUCUGUAUUUCUUACUUGAAGACAUCAGAUGGCUGACUCCACAGGAGCCUGUGGUGGAUCAGAGUGGAAAACUGCAACCUGAGAGGAUUGAGGGAAACCUUACAGAGCCCCUGGGGUAGUGGUCAGGUUGGAGGUUUCACAUACUCUAAAUGAGAGUUGUCUUUAUUUUGCUGCUCAAAUCUGGUGGGCUUUCUUGCCAAUGAGUUUGCUAUGGACUCAAAACAUUGUUAUUUUGCCUGAACAAUCUCUGUGGUUAAUGGUUGUUGUUAGAUAUUGCAUGAACCUUGGGUUUGAAACUCAAGAUAGACUCCUGUGGAUUCUCAAUUUUCCUUUUAGUUAAGAGUAGAAGACCUUCAAUUUAUCCAGAAAUGUGGUUGAGCUGUCAAAAUGCCUGGUCUGAAAAUGGAUAGGCCUAUGGCCAGGAACUUGCUGACAAGGAAACCUAUAGUUGCAGGGCUCAAAACUUCUCAGAUGAUAGGCUAUGGGAAGAAGUCAGAGGGUUCAUUCAGAAGCUCCAGCUACAGAUAGAAAACGCUACUCACGAAGAGGUAGCUCAACCUCCUAACUGAUGUCAUUGUCUCCACUGGAGUAAUCGUCCUCAAAUGCAGUAUCAAUCACGCUACUCCCUUGCUGAAGAUAUUCAGUAACCAGACCCACUCUUAACACAUUGCAGGGCCUGGGGCAAGAGUACAGAUGGAUACCCACAACAUAGAGUUAAAUCUAUACAAACUAUAAAUCAAUAUAACAAGCUGAUAAACAGAAUAUGUCCCCCUUCUGUGAAAAAUAUGCCUCCAUACUGAAAAAAUCUCAACAUACAUGUAAAGCUAUGCUUGUUGCAGGAAUGUGGUUAGGGACAAAGUAAAAAUAACUAAACUGUAUUAUUGUACAUUUCUGAGUAUUCUUUUUAGAGUCUGAUGAUGUUAAAAUGAAAAGUAAGUCACAAAAAUGUAUUUGUGAUUAUAUAUUCUGUAAUAUCAAUUUUAGAAAAAUUACUAAUUAUGUCAUGUUGAAGAUGUGUAUAUAAUUAAUGUUCUAGAGAUAAUAACGAUAUAAAAGAUUGAAAGUAUUCAAAGUAUACAAAACUGGAAUAUAUUUUCAUUGAAGAUGUAAAUUAAAUGUAAAAAAGUUAUUGUUCAUAUUUUCAAAAUCUUUUCUUUCAAAAUAUUCAAAAUUGCCUAUAAAAUUAAAAGGCAAAAGACAAAUCAUUAUAAAUCAAAAUAUUAAAUAAAAUAUUUCAAAGUAAAGUUUAAAUUUUUAUAAUGUUUAAGAAUUAAAUCUUUUGAUAUAAAUAAAGCCAU
This 2705-nucleotide long non-coding RNA is filed under the name Homo sapiens (human). Its description in RNAcentral is "non-protein coding lnc-PRL-3:3". The record is from RNAcentral. Lineage: Eukaryota; Metazoa; Chordata; Mammalia; Primates; Hominidae.